GGGCGGCUAGCUCAGUGGGAGAGCGCUUGCCUCACACGCAAGAGGUCAUUGGUUCAAACCCAAUGCCGCCCACCA
RNAcentral lists this transfer RNA (75 nucleotides) under Chloroflexota bacterium. Its description in RNAcentral is "Chloroflexi bacterium tRNA-Val". It matches the Rfam family "tRNA". Rfam says of the family: Transfer RNA (tRNA) molecules are approximately 80 nucleotides in length. Lineage: Bacteria; Bacillati; Chloroflexota. RNAcentral also lists the same sequence under 2 other names. The record is from RNAcentral.